RNAcentral lists this ribosomal RNA (1506 nucleotides) under Triticum aestivum (bread wheat). Its description in RNAcentral is "partial small subunit ribosomal RNA". Lineage: Eukaryota; Viridiplantae; Streptophyta; Magnoliopsida; Poales; Poaceae. The record is from RNAcentral.
AUGAGAGUGAAAGCUGACAAAUUGAAGGAGGACAUCAACUUGUUGUUCAACAAUACUAUGGUAGAACAAUUGACUUUAUUGGAUGCACUCCAACGUCUUGGAAUAGAUCACCUUUUCCAAGAACAAAUCAACACCGUGAUUAACGAAAUCUACGAGAGUGAAUCCAAUAGUUCUAGCCUCUAUGAGGUUGCUCUUCGAUUUUGCUUGCUUAGAGAACAUGGACUUUGGAUAUCUCCAGAUGUAUUCAAUAAGUUCAAGGGAGAAGAUGGUAGCUUCAACAAGGAUAUAACUAAUGAACCGAGGGGACUGUUAAGUUUAUACAAUGCAGCUUACCUUUCUGUCAAUGGUGAAUCUGAACUCGAUGAAGCCAUGGCCUUUGCAAGGCACCAUCUUGAAUCUAUGAGUGGCAGUCUUAAAUACCCUUUAUCUGAGCAAGUCAAACGAAGCCUUGAGAUACCAUUACCAAGGACUCUGAGUAGAGUGGAUGCGCCUUAUUACAUUGAGGAAUACAAACAAGAGAAAGCAUGCAACCCCUAUGUGCUAGAACUUGCAAAGCUCGAAUUUAAUCUUCUGCAACGUCUUCACCAGCAAGAGCUCAAGGAUUUUUGUCGGUGGGGAAAUGAUCUAUAUGAAGAAGUGGGACUAAGCUACUCUCGGCAUCGUACCGUUGAAAUAUACCUCUGGUGUUACACAAUACACUAUGAGAAACAAUAUGCACAUGCACGGAUAAUCCUUGCCAAGAUAUGUGUGCUAAUAUCUCUGCUAGAUGACACUUUUGAUAUGCAAGCUACCUUGGAAGAGGGUCGAAAGAUCAACGAAGCGAUACAAAGAUGGGACGAGAGUGCUAUCCCUAUUUUACCAGUGUACUUAAAAAAAUACUAUGUCAAGCUGAUGAAUAUCUUCAGAGAGUUGGAGGACGAACUGAAACAAGAUCACAAGUACCGCAUGGUUUAUUCUAGGAAAGCGAUCCAAACUCUAUGCAGGCAUUACCAACAAGAAUCUGAAUGGUUCCAUAGCAAUUACAUACCAAGCUUUCAAGAUCACAUCAAGAACUCUGUUAUCUCCACAGGUGCUCCAGCUACAUUCGUGACUUCACUCAUUGGUAUGGGCGACGAAGUAACUGAGGAAACAUUCCAGUGGGCCAUUGGUUGCACCGAUGCCGUGAAGGCUUGCAGUGAGGUGGCACGUUUCAUGAAUGACAUGACUGCAUUUCAGCACGGGAAGAACAAACUGGAUGCGGCCAGCUCAGUAGAUAGCUAUAUCAACCAACAUCAUGUCACGGGUGAGGUAGCAAUGGCCGCGGUGGGUAAACUGGUUGAAGAUGCAUGGAAAACUACCAAUCAGGCACGAUUUGACCGUCGUGCUAUGCUCCUGCCUUUAGAACGAAUCAUCAGACUGACCAAGAGCAUGACCUUGAUGUACCGUGGCAAUAUUAACCUGUACACAUUCACAAGUGGCAACAAAGACAAGAUCCAGCAGCAGUUCAUCGAACCUAUCCCACUCUAG